GGGAUUGCUUUUAUUUAUUUAUUUAUUUUUAUUUUUAUAAAUAGGGAUCCCUUUUUAUUUGUUUAGUUGGUGAGAGGAAUAAAUGAACUCAUAAAAAAAAAUAUUUAAAAUUUAAAAAGAAAACACAACACAGGGUGGAAAGCAACGCAUAUGUUGUAACAUUAACUGGAGCUGUUUGAAAUUACAUAGCAACCCCUUGGUCAGCUUUUUGAAGAGGUUGGCCCAAAUUCAACUCAAAGCUUGUUUUAGAACUAAAGUUAUAGGCUAUCUAAUCCGGUUCAUUUGAGUCCAAUGCGCCACGGCCCAUCUAAGCUCACCCAAGUCCGCACAAUUUUAUAUUUAAAAUAUCAUUUGUAAAGAGGAGGCGCUGGGCACAGACAGGCAAGGUGGCCGCCAAUUGCCUCCAAAUUAGAAGAGCCCCAAUUUGAAUAAACCUCUAUAUAUACAUACACAUAUCUUACUUUAAAAAUCAUGCUAUAUAUAUUAAUAUUAUGUUAGGCCCAAAUAUUAUAUAUAAAGACAUAAAGCCCAAUUAAGCAAACUAAAACUAAAAAGAGGAAACUCAGUAAGCGCCAAUGUUAUUUAAACUUAUAAAUUUUGGUUGUGGGUGGCACAACGCGGGUGUGCCUAGUAAAUGGGAUGGGGUUCUCUUAGAUAAAAAAUUUGAUCGUUCAUUUUUUUAUCCCAGUUAGUGGGAGCCAAAACAUAAGGGGGUCGUUUGGUACACAUGCUUGGUUUGGACUGGCUUGGACUAAAUUUAGUACCAUGUUUAUUUCAUUUAAUUCUAGUCUUAGAUGGGAUUGCU
Molecule: long non-coding RNA, 805 nt
Filed under: Prunus persica (peach)
Lineage: Eukaryota; Viridiplantae; Streptophyta; Magnoliopsida; Rosales; Rosaceae
Description: long non-coding RNA (PPER_LNC000751)
Source: RNAcentral